CGCCCAUUAAAGUGGUACGCGAGCUGGGUUCAGAACGUCGUGAGACAGUUCGGUCCCUAUCCGUCGCAGGCGUAGGAAAUUUGAGGAGACCUGUCCUUAGUACGAGAGGACCGGGAUGGACGUACCUAUGGUGUACCAGUUGUUCUGCCAAGGGCAUGGCUGGGUAGCUAUGUACGGAAUGGAUAAGCGCUGAAAGCAUC
RNAcentral lists this ribosomal RNA (200 nucleotides) under Clostridioides sp. ZZV14-6044. RNAcentral's name for it is "partial 23S ribosomal RNA". It matches the Rfam family "Bacterial large subunit ribosomal RNA", at positions 2582 to 2781 of the family's 2925-position model. The record is from RNAcentral. Lineage: Bacteria; Bacillati; Bacillota; Clostridia; Peptostreptococcales; Peptostreptococcaceae.